GAUAUUGGCUCUCAAAAAUUCGGCCCUUUGGUGAAAUUUGAGGUUUUGAGUGCUUCAACCUCCAUUGAAGCUUGAGGAGCCAUCAAUCCUUGGUUGUGUGACCAUUGGUGGAUUGAGACAUUUGGACCAACCGUGAGUGAUCAACCAUUGGAGCAAGCUAUGGAGCUUGAUUAGCUCCAUUGGAUAGGUUUUGUUUGAGAAGUGGAGUAUUUUAAUUGAUUGACUGUGGAAACUGUUGGUGGUGAACAAAGGUCGAAUUGAAGCUGAGG
Gastrolobium bilobum is the source of this 269-nucleotide long non-coding RNA. RefSeq lists it as uncharacterized. The transcript is spliced from 3 exons. Lineage: Eukaryota; Viridiplantae; Streptophyta; Magnoliopsida; Fabales; Fabaceae. The record is from RefSeq and is a predicted model, not a curated record.